CCUACGGGGGGCAGCAGUGGGGAAUAUUGCACAAUGGGGGAAACCCUGAUGCAGCGACGCCGCGUGAGUGAAGAAGUAAUUCGUUAUGUAAAGCUCUAUCAGCAGGGAAGAAAAUGACGGUACCUGAGUAAGAAGCCCCGGCUAACUACGUGCCAGCAGCCGCGGUAAUACGUAGGGGGCAAGCGUUAUACGGAUUUACUGGGUGGAAAGGGAGCGUAGACGGCAGUGCAAGUCUGGAGUGAAAGGCGGGGGCUCAACCCCCGGACUGCCCUGGAAACUGUACGGCUGGAGUGCAGGAGAGGUAAGUGGAAUUCCUAGUGUAGCGGUGAAAUGCGUAGAUAUUAGGAGGAACACCAGUGGCGAAGGCGGCUUACUGGACUGUAACUGACGUUGAGGCUCGAAAGCGUGGGGAGCAAACAGGAUUAGAUACCCUUGUAGUC
This 440-nucleotide ribosomal RNA is filed under the name uncultured bacterium. Its description in RNAcentral is "partial 16S ribosomal RNA". It matches the Rfam family "Bacterial small subunit ribosomal RNA", at positions 338 to 795 of the family's 1533-position model. The record is from RNAcentral.